Peromyscus maniculatus bairdii (prairie deer mouse) is the source of this 292-nucleotide non-coding RNA. NCBI's taxonomy places the organism in Eukaryota, Metazoa, Chordata, Mammalia, Rodentia, Cricetidae. The record is from RefSeq and is a predicted model, not a curated record.
GAACUGGAAUAUUUCUGUGGGAGCCACGUUGAGCCUGGCACUGUGCCAGACAGUGAGGCUGCAAAGAUCAUGUGCUUUUGGGGACACCGGCUGCCCUGUCCUGACAAAAUGUAGUCCCAUGGGGCUGUUCUGUAGCAAGAACGGAGGCCUCUUGCCAACAAACAAUUUGACCAUGCCAGACACACCUGGGUGACGAGGCCACCCCUGCCCGGGCGCCUUACCUCACAGGCGAAGAGCUUGAACUGCAGCCCCAGGAUCUUGUAGUCUAUCAGCUGAUUCCCUCGAAGCUGAG